RNAcentral lists this non-coding RNA (45 nucleotides) under Schistosoma margrebowiei. Lineage: Eukaryota; Metazoa; Platyhelminthes; Trematoda; Strigeidida; Schistosomatidae. The record is from RNAcentral.
AUCCAGCUGACGAGUCCUAAAUAGGAAUUAACGCGAGUUCUGGAU